RNAcentral lists this ribosomal RNA (259 nucleotides) under uncultured prokaryote. RNAcentral describes it as "partial 16S ribosomal RNA". It matches the Rfam family "Bacterial small subunit ribosomal RNA", at positions 524 to 782 of the family's 1533-position model. The record is from RNAcentral.
UACGUAGGUGGCAAGCGUUAUCCGGAAUUAUUGGGCGUAAAGAGCGCGCAGGUGGUUGAUUAAGUCUGAUGUGAAAGCCCACGGCUUAACCGUGGAGGGUCAUUGGAAACUGCUCGACUUGAGUGCAGAAGAGGGAAGUGGAAUUCCAUGUGUAGCGGUGAAAUGCGUAGAGAUAUGGAGGAACACCAGUGGCGAAGGCGGCUUCCUGGUCUGUAACUGACACUGAGGCGCGAAAGCGUGGGGAGCAAACAGGAUUAGA